AGUUGACGUUGGUCAGCACGGAGGCCACAGGAUCCCAGCCCGGCCUUUGUGGGACUGAGGUGGCGCUGAGUGGGAGAGCAGCAGGCGAUGCGCGAAAGGCGGGACUUGGAGAUAAAUACUGAGCACCCACUACAGGCAGCCAGCACCACUGCAGAUUGGAUACUGCUAUGAUGAUAAGCAUGGCCUGCCUUUAUGGAGGUUCUGGAUGUUCCUGUGGAUAACCUCAAGGAGCAGGGGACCUGGGACAUGACUGCCCCCAGCAUUCCUUCUGGCGGCAGACAGAGUUUGUCAGUUCGCCAACAUCCUGCUUUCAUGAGAACAGUUUGCUGUUUGCUCACAGAGCCUCCAGUGGUAUACUGAGUUGGUCACGACCCUCAUUCCUUCGGCCUCCAACAUCUCCCCUUUUGUUUUUGCAUUAAUUGAAUAAAGAUGACGUCACUGAGGUAAGGGCGGGUUAAAGCCUGUUCUGUACCAAGCAAGUUGUGCAGCCAACUGGGGGACUGAAUCCCAGUGUGACGUGACGAAGAGGUGUUGAAGGUCCACCACCAGUGCCAGUGAAGUUUGUGCCAAGAGAUUCCGCUGGCUCAUGGCUUGUACUGGAGGUAACAGGCCCACGGUUGAAUACCACGGAUCCCUCCGGUCUCCCGUUCCAUGGUCACACACACCUGGAGGGCACCCACACGGUUUGUCCAUCUCCUGUAAAAACACAAGCAUACCCUCGUCCCCACGUCAGCAAAUCCACCGGACCUUUCCAUUGUCCUUCUUCUGGGGAUUUCCAUAACACUUUUGGAUAAACUUGCCUCUUUUCCUCUAGCAGUUGCCAGUGUCGUUCUGUUGGGGUCUUGCCAUCCGUACCAGGAGUCAAACAAUUUAAAGUAAACAAGGCUAAAUGUAAUUUUGUUUGAAGUGGUAAUUGGUCCCCUAUUCUCCCUUUUUGUUUUUUCAGCAUGCGUUGUAGUGUUUGAUGUACCCGCUCAAUAAUGCCUGGUCCUCAGGGAUUGUAUGGAAUUCCUGUUUUAUGAUUGAUUGCCCACAAUUGUAAAAAAUUGGGAAAGCAUGACUAACAUAAGCGAGUCUACUGUCAGUUUUAAAUUGUUUAGGGACCCCCAUAUGGGCAAAUGACGACAGACAGUAUCGUCAGACAUGACCAGCUGUUUCUCCAGUUUGGCAUGUGGCAUGUAAUAUAUGGGAGUAAGUGUCUAUAUUACAUGAACAUAGCGGAGUUUGCCAAAGGCUGCUAUAUAUAUGUAACAUCCAUCUGCCAGAUUUCAUUUGGAGCCAAGCCUCGUGGGUUGCAUCCUUCCACAGGUGCAACACCAGGGACAUGCUGGCAAGUGGGGUAGGCUUGCACAAUAACUCAAGCCUGGCUGCGAGGCAGAUGAAACAUACGAGUAAGGGCAAGUUGUUCUGAUGCAGUAAAGCAUGGGAAGCUUGGGCUUGUUGAAAUAUAGAACUGAUGAAUUUAUCUGCUCUAUCAUUACCUAGAGAUAGUGGCCCCAGGAAGUUGUGUGUGAGAUCGGAUAUGAGAAAUAUGAAAAGGGGCAGCAUGAGAGCGAACAGCUUUUUGGAGUCUCAGAAAUAGGUUAAGCAGUUCUGGUUUUAAGGUGCUCUUGUGUGGGCGGCAAGCCACCCAGGCGCCGAAGCAAGAGACAGAGGACACGGGCUGUUCCAGUAUAAUAACAUAUAAAACAAGAAUAGUUAUACCAGAUAUAGAUCUUAGAUAUGAUUAUAUAUGAAUAUCAUUAAUCAUUAGUUUGUAGCAAUUAAUUUUUAUUCCAAUAUUACAAUAAUCCUCGCUCUAUAAUCAUAGCCUAGGAAAAACCAGGCCAUACAGAGAUAGAAGCUGAGGGGACACAGUGAGAAGUGACCAGAAGACAAGAGUGCGAGCCUUCUGUUAUGUCCAGACAGGGCCACUAGAGGGCUCCUUGGUCUAGCGGUGACGCCAGCGUUUGGGAAGACCGUGGUCUAGCGGUAGCGAAAAGUGUCAAGGAACAACACCCGCUACUUAGCAGACCGGGAAAGGAGGGGGGGUCUCCCUUUCCCUGGGGGAGGUUAGAGAAGACUCUGCUCCUCCACCUCUUGUGGAGGGCCUGACAUUAGUCAGGCUCGCCCACAGUUAUCCGGAGGCCUAACCGUCUCCCUGUGAUGCUGUGCUUCGGUGGUCACGCUCCUAGUCCACCUUCAUGUUCCAUCCUGUACACCUGGCUCUGCCUUCUAGAUAGCAGUAGUAAAUUAGUGAAAGUACUAAUAGUCCCUGAUAUGCAGAAAUAAUGGCGCAAGCUGUCUUUCUCUCUGUCUCCUCUCUCUCUCUGCCUCAGCUGCCAGGCAGGGAAGGGCCCCCUGACCAGUGGACACAUGACCCACGUGACCUUACCUAUCAUUGGAGAUGACUCACACUCUUUACCCUGCC
RNAcentral lists this non-coding RNA (2410 nucleotides) under Pan troglodytes (chimpanzee). The record is from RNAcentral. Lineage: Eukaryota; Metazoa; Chordata; Mammalia; Primates; Hominidae.